Molecule: non-coding RNA, 331 nt
Organism: Rattus norvegicus (Norway rat)
Lineage: Eukaryota; Metazoa; Chordata; Mammalia; Rodentia; Muridae
Source: RefSeq, a predicted model, not a curated record
GGCAGUCCCUACCCCGAAAACGCUCUCAAGCCAGGAAAGCCUUCAGGAAAAUCUGGCGUAACUGGGAAAUGUGCUUCAAAGGAGGAUUUCGCGGGGCAGGUCCUAGUCCCUUCUGUGGGAAAAGCAAAGAAUUGUUACCGAUGCCUCGAACUCGUUACGUACAGUUCGGCAUUGAGGAUGAGACUUGGGGCCUCAUUCAUAUCUGCAGUGCACACAAGUGUGGCAAUCUGGAGGCAGAGGCAGAAGGAUCUCUAAGAGUUCAAGGUCAGCCUAGUCUAUCAUGAGACCCUGCCCCAAAAAUAAGUAAAUAAAAAGUCAAAUUUCUAAGUGA